AACGAACGCUGGCGGCAUGCCUAACACAUGCAAGUCGAACGAGACCUUCGGGUCUAGUGGCGCACGGGUGCGUAACGCGUGGGAAUCUGCCCUUGGUUCGGAAUAACAGUUAGAAAUGACUGCUAAUACCGGAUAAUGUCUUCGGACCAAAGAUUUAUCGCCCAGGGAUGAGCCCGCGUAGGAUUAGCUAGUUGGUGAGGUAAAGGCUCACCAAGGCGACGAUCCUUAGCUGGUCUGAGAGGAUGAUCAGCCACACUGGGACUGAGACACGGCCCAGACUCCUACGGGAGGCAGCAGUGGGGAAUAUUGGACAUGGCGAAAGCCUGAUCCAGC
This 333-nucleotide ribosomal RNA is filed under the name uncultured bacterium. RNAcentral describes it as "bacterial SSU rRNA". It matches the Rfam family "Bacterial small subunit ribosomal RNA", at positions 29 to 392 of the family's 1533-position model. The record is from RNAcentral.